CCGGCAAUAGCUCAGUUGGUAGAGCGGGAGACUGUAGUUUAUCUCUAGGUCGCUAGUUCAAAUCUGGCUUGCCGG
RNAcentral lists this transfer RNA (75 nucleotides) under Rhizophagus irregularis DAOM 181602=DAOM 197198. RNAcentral describes it as "tRNA-Tyr". It matches the Rfam family "tRNA". From Rfam's summary of the family: Transfer RNA (tRNA) molecules are approximately 80 nucleotides in length. Their secondary structure includes four short double-helical elements and three loops (D, anti-codon, and T loops). The record is from RNAcentral. Lineage: Eukaryota; Fungi; Glomeromycota; Glomeromycetes; Glomerales; Glomeraceae.